Molecule: long non-coding RNA, 948 nt
Filed under: Anolis carolinensis (green anole)
Lineage: Eukaryota; Metazoa; Chordata; Lepidosauria; Squamata; Anolidae
Description: lncRNA (ENSACAG00000034229.2)
Source: RNAcentral
GCGCGCGCAUACACACACACACAUCCACCAGCAGCUCUCGGCGCUGAAACUAAAUUAAGAAGCACAUGAUUAAGAGACAAGCGUCUACGGGGCCUGUCAUUUCAGCAUCCUUCCAUCAUAACAUUGUGGCACGGGGGAAAUUUGCUUGAAAACCCUUGGAAGGAAGGGGGAAAAAAUCGAGGGAGAAGAGAGCUUAGGCACAAAGAGCGAGAAGGCGAGAGAUAGAUAGAUAGAUAGAUAGAUAGAUAGAUAGAUAGAUAGAUAGAUAGAGAGAGAGAGAAAGAGAGAGAGAGAGAGCCUGCUUGCUCCGGGAGAGGAAAGAGAAGAGAGGCUGGCAAGAGCCCAGAGGUCUCCAAGAACUUGGAAAAGCGUGCACGGAUCUCUAUCUUGGAGAGCGAGCAGGAAUGAAUGAUAAUAUUUUACCCAUAAAACGGAAACUAAAGUUUGGAGAGCUGGAGUGAUAUAAUAUUGGAUUAGAACUUUGGAACCCAAAGCUUGAAUCCCCACUUGACCAUGGACACCCUUUGGAAGACCUUGAACAAGUCUUAGUCUCUCAGCCUCAGAUGAUGGCAAAAUUUCCUCCCUGAUCAAAUCUUGUUAAGAAAAUUUCAUAAUAGGGUCACCAAGCUGGAGAUGACUAAAAAGCACAUAAUAACAAGUAAAUGCAAGGGUGGGUGCCUGCCUGAUCUCUCUAGGGAGAGAGUUCCAGAUCCGGGGGCCACUACUGAGAAGGCCUGCUCCCUCGUCCCUGCCAACCAAGCUUGUGAUGGAGGCGGGAGCAAGAGAAGGGCCUCCCCGGAUGAGCGAAGAAGUCAUGCAGGUUCAUAGGGAGAAAGACGGUCACGAAGUGACAGGCCACAUACUUAUGAAGAAGGAUUUGAGGGCAACUUCACCCUCAGUGCUGUAACAAUUUAUAUCAAGAGGUCUACCAGUACGAGUGCUACCAGU